AUGUCAAGUGAAAGAAUCCUCAAGAUUGGGGAAACUAGAACAGAUUUGGAGACUUGGCCUUUGAAGGAAAGGCCAUGGAGAGGGAUUCUCUAUAGCAGUUGUUCUCAAUUGUGGCGGCUCCCCAGAUCACGACCAGUUGUUGGGAAGAGCCAUAAUGUAAGCCUGUGCCAAUCGGAAGAGACGAAGGAAGGCUGCAUGAGAACACAAAGCGUUCCAGCCUGGUUCCAUAACAUAUUUGGUUACCUGACUGGGAAACCCAACUGGGCUGGACCAUUGUUGACACCGGUUUGGAAGAAUGGCGAGGCAGUGACAGAGUGAGGAAUCUCAAAGGAGAAGGCAUGCCCUGCCUGAAUUUCAGCAGUCUCCUAUUCGUCACCUCAGGUUAGCCCUGCUGCAUCGUUCAUGCUGGACUCAAAGAGACCUGGUAGGUGAAGACCUGGACCUGACAUCAGAACUGGUAAGACUGGGGCCCCAAAGAAGUCAGGCCUACCCAAAAGGGUGUAAGAGGGACCUGAUCACUCCCCAGAGAGCUUAGUGGUCUUACAGGUAGAAAAUUUUGCAGGAGGGAAUGUAAUAGCCUCUCGUGUGUGUGUGUAUGUGAACGUGCGGCUAGGAUAGUCUUGCCAGUCUAGUUUGAGUUUGUGGCUCCACGGAUGGGCGCCCUGAAGGUCCCCGAAAGUCUACAGAGUCUGAGUGGGCUCUCCUGUCUCACAAUGAAAGGCAUAUGGUCCAGGGCGUCAUCGGAUUAGACUCUAAUUGCAAGUCACAAAGCUGAGUCUGCUACGGCCAAGCUUCAUCUAAAGUUUCCCUCGGGAAUGUGACCAAUGGAGUACCUGAUUGGUCCUCUCAUCUGAGGGGAUACCCUCCCUUUGUCUGUCUCCAUGACACCAAACACGAGAAAAGAAUUAAUAAUGGGAUCAAAACAGAGUAAGCCUACGAUUUUAGAGGUCAUGCUCAAAUAUUUAAAAAAUGGAUUUUCAGGUGAUUACCGGAUGAAAAUGACACCCAGGAAGUUAAGGACCUUUUAUGAACUAGAAUGGCCCAUAUUCAAUGUGGGAUGGCCCCCGAAAGGGACAUUAGAUGCUCAAAUAGUGCAGCGGGUUUGGCUGAUAUUCACUGGGAACCCAGGUCACCCUGGUCAAUUUUGAUACAUUGAUUCCUGGCUUGGAAUUGCCCAAAAUCCUCAGCCUUGGGUGCAAUUCAUCCAUAGCAAGAAGAGUCAGGCAAAGAUUUUAGCUACCUUAUCUGGAGACUCACCCAGGGAGCCAAAGAAGCAACCCACCACUUCCCUAGUGUUUGCAGGAGACCCGGAGGAAGAUCCCAUCUUUCCGCCACCUUAUGACUCACCAGGCUCCCUCCCCCCUACCCCUGAGCUUGAAACUCCUCCUCAUCUGUCUCUCCUUUGGCCCUGGACGUGCUGCCCAUCUCUCUUCCACUCCCAGACCUGGAGAACCCUCCCCCAUCAGGGCUAGAAGCCAGACUGCACCCCAGAUCCAGACCUAAUGCUCUCCAAAUGCCUGUAAGGGAGAUGAGAGAGCCUGAAAGGCAGAAUAAGGACAGAACAGUCCAGCCCAGCCAUUCCAUGAUGUAUUAUCAACCUUUCUCUACAACUGACCUCCUCAAUUGGAAACACAACACUCCAUCAUACUCUGAAAAGCCACAAGCAAUGGUCGACUUGAUAGAGUCCCUCUUCCAGACCCAUCGACCGACUUGGGAAGAUUGUCAACAGUUACUCUGUACUCUGUUUAAUACAGAAGAAAGAAGAAGAAUGAGAGAAACAUGACAGUAUCUAGAUCACGCACCUCCGGGGAUCAAUAACCCUGCUGUCUGGGCUCUAACUGCCACACCUGAAGAAUGUCCAACAUGGGAUUUCACCACAGAAGAGGGACAAGCCCACAUCUGAUGAUACCAGGAAGCCCUCCUUCAGGGAACCC
RNAcentral lists this long non-coding RNA (1934 nucleotides) under Panthera leo (lion). RNAcentral describes it as "lncRNA (ENSPLOG00000005064.1)". The record is from RNAcentral. Lineage: Eukaryota; Metazoa; Chordata; Mammalia; Carnivora; Felidae.